RNAcentral lists this ribosomal RNA (253 nucleotides) under uncultured bacterium. Its description in RNAcentral is "partial 16S ribosomal RNA". It matches the Rfam family "Bacterial small subunit ribosomal RNA", at positions 524 to 776 of the family's 1533-position model. The record is from RNAcentral.
UACGUAGGGUCCGAGCGUUGUCCGGAAUUACUGGGCGUAAAGAGCUCGUAGGUGGUUUGUCGCGUUGUUCGUGAAAACUCACAGCUUAACUGUGGGCGUGCGGGCGAUACGGGCAGACUUGAGUACUGCAGGGGAGACUGGAAUUCCUGGUGUAGCGGUGGAAUGCGCAGAUAUCAGGAGGAACACCGGUGGCGAAGGCGGGUCUCUGGGCAGUAACUGACGCUGAGGAGCGAAAGCGUGGGGAGCAAACGGG